Molecule: ribosomal RNA, 479 nt
Filed under: uncultured bacterium
Lineage: Bacteria
Description: SSU rRNA
Rfam family: Bacterial small subunit ribosomal RNA
Source: RNAcentral
AGGAUGAACGCUGGCGGCGUGCUUAACACAUGCAAGUCGAACGGUGAAGGAGGAGCUUGCUCCUCUGGAUCAGUGGCGAACGGGUGAGUAACACGUGAGUAACCUGCCCCAGACUCUGGGAUAAGCGUUGGAAACGACGUCUAAUACCGGAUACGAGCUUCAGCCGCAUGGCUAGGAGCUGGAAAGAAUUUCGGUCUGGGAUGGACUCGCGGCCUAUCAGGUAGUUGGUGAGGUAAAGGCCCACCAAGCCUACGACGGGUAGCCGGCCUGAGAGGGUGACCGGCCACACUGGGACUGAGACACGGCCCAGACUCCUACGGGAGGCAGCAGUGGGGAAUAUUGCACAAUGGGCGCAAGCCUGAUGCAGCAACGCCGCGUGAGGGACGACGGCCUUCGGGUUGUAAACCUCUUUAGUAGGGAGAAGCGAAAGUGACGGUACCUGCAGAAGAAGCACCGGCCAACUACGUGCCAGCAGCCGC